UACGGAGGGUGCGAGCGUUGUCCGGAAUCAUUGGGCGUAAAGGGCGCGUAGGUGGCUUCUUAAGCGUGCGGUGAAAGCCUGGGCUCAACCCCGGGUCGGCCGUGCGAACUGGGGGGCUGGAGCACUGUAGAGGCAGGCGGAAUUCCGGGUGUAGCGGUGGAAUGCGUAGAGAUCCGGAAGAACGACCGGUGGCGAAGGCGGCCUGCUGGGCAGUGCUGACACUGAGGCGCGACAGCGUGGGAGCAACAGG
RNAcentral lists this ribosomal RNA (250 nucleotides) under uncultured bacterium. RNAcentral describes it as "partial 16S ribosomal RNA". It matches the Rfam family "Bacterial small subunit ribosomal RNA", at positions 524 to 776 of the family's 1533-position model. The record is from RNAcentral.